This 3555-nucleotide long non-coding RNA is filed under the name Capsicum annuum. Its description in RNAcentral is "long non-coding RNA (CANN_LNC020746)". The record is from RNAcentral. Lineage: Eukaryota; Viridiplantae; Streptophyta; Magnoliopsida; Solanales; Solanaceae.
ACAUACACAAUAGACUCUCAGGAUAUUAUUUUUUUCACUAACCUCACGCCAUAAACACAUACCAAUAGAGAGACCAUUCUCAAUUCCAUUUGAAAAGAGACCAUCUAUCAAUACCCACUACAAUUUAUUCACAGACCCACACGUCCACUCUCAAUGAACAAAUGCAAAACACACAACACACAGUAGAAUGAAGAAAUGGGAGACGGGAGAGAGAUCGGAAAAGGAAAUCGCGAGUUAGAAAGAAACGGAGAGAGAUCAAUUGAGAGAGGUAGAGAGAAAGCAGAGAUCUGAGAGAGAAGGAGAGAAUCGGAAAAGGGGUACUGCUCCGGCAAGUUUCGCCUGAGAGAAGUCAAAAUCCAAUCUGUUCUCGUCGGUUCUCGCCGUGUUUGAGCCCGCCGGAGCUCCGGCGAUGCAAAACAGCGACCCCCAGCCCUCAAAAUCCCCCAAAAUCUUUUCUUUUUUCUUGGUUUUAGACGAGAUUCCGUCGAAGAACGUUAAGGUUGCCGGAUUCUAACUUGUUUCAUCGAUUCUAGUUACCAGCCGAGAUCGCCAGAGCUACAAGCACACGGGUUCUUCAGUUUUUCUUGUGAUUUGUGAUUCUCGAGUUAGUUUAUUCAUGCCCGUGGAUUGCUGUUCGGAUUGCAUUUCGUGAAUAUUCUGCGUUUUGGGUUUAGUAGAUAGUCGAGUUGGUAGUUUUGUUUGAGGUUCAACCCGAGGCUUCGGACACGGAUUCUGGCUUGUUUAACUGAGUAAUACAUUGAAGGUCAUUAAGGUCCAUUUCUCAUCCCUUCUUAAUUGAGCUUAAUUAUCGAUAUUUGGUGUGGUAAAUUCAUGGCACGUGAAUAUUGUUUCAUGUGAUUUGAUUAUGUUUGGAUUAUGGAUUGAUUUCAUUUGAAUAGAGUAAUUGAAGGAUUUGAAUUCGUUUGGGAUAGAUUUUAACUUGGGGAAGACGGGAAUUGAAAGGUGAUAAAGUGAAUAUUGUAGUGUUUUGAUUCAUCGAUUGUUAUUGAAUUUGAAAUGAAUGUUAAUGUUAUCGGACUCGGUAGUAUCAUGAUAAAGCUGUCAAAAGCGUAGGCAAAUAGUAGGCUUAGGUAGGCAAAUUUAGAACUUAUGGAGUGUUUGAGUGCUCGAAAUGUUUGUGGAAUGGUUUAUUUUUCGCAUAUGAAAAAUGUAUUCAUUUAGCCGGGGAAUGCCCCGGGACACAUUGUAUUUAUUCACCGGGGGAUGCCCCGACGUAUUAUGUUGGCGGAAAACAUUUGUGAUGAAGGCCCGAGGCAUUGGGUAAGCAUUGGAGCAUAGUUUAGGAUUAGUCUAGAAUAAGAUUUAUAUUUUCGUAUUUUCUUAUCUUUGGGACUGUAUAAUUCAGACUGGACACUAUAUUUUUGGAUUGUUGUUUGAUGUGUUUGUUGCUUGUUUUAUGUAUUUGUGUGGUUUAUACAUUCAUAAUGUCAAAUUAGACGAUAUACUCUACCAAGCGACCGUGGUCAAACCACGGGAUCGAGGGGUGCCUAACACCUUCCCCUCGGUCAACAGAAUUUCUUAGCCGGAAUCUCUGUUCACGGAUUAGUUUUUAGAGUCAAACCAUUUUGAAAAGGAUAUUCCAAAGGUGACUUGGCACACCGGAUUAUACCAAGUGGCGACUCUGAAUAAGAAAAAAUAAUGUAAAUAAUCCUUUUUUUUCGAAAUAAAUUUUUUCAUUUUUGUCACCUUAAUAAUAAAACCCUUUCGAACUUAAAAUCCAAUCUUUUGGAGUAUGAAAAAGGGGUGUGACAGUUCUGGCGACUCUGCUGGGGAACUAUUUCAGAAUCCGAUCUUUUUUUUGGAGUCGUAUCGGCUUUGUUUGGCAUUACGAGUGUAUAAGCAUUGUUUGUGAUUUUUGUUUAUGUUUUCACUUUUGUGCGUUUUCAUUCUCUUUGUUUAUAGUAUUUAUCCUAUGUGUUUACCACUUUUAUAUCUAACAUCAUGUGCAUAACCCGAGUCAUUCUUUCCGCAACAAGUCUCGGAGCGCACGUCGUGCGCACGAACUCUAGUUGAGUCACCUUUAUUUUAGGGUGGGAGCUGUUGGAUGUAUGGAGUAGGUGGAAAGCAAAGCAGCCACAAUCAACCAUAUGCUCCCCCGAACGGCCUUGUUAGUAAACCACAAUGUAGGUCAGCCUUUAGGUCAUUCUUAUAUACAUCAUAUUGAGACCUAGAGGGACCCACACGGCCCUUUGUAGGAAACUCACCUCUAAAGCAUCUCUACGUGCUAAAUGUUGCAUCUCUGAGAGUAAUGUGGUCAUUUGACGGACCGAUUUGGGGAAAGCAAGUGUUAGAAGUAAAGUGUGUAGACAAGAAAGUGUUGAAAAAAAAAAAGGAAAGAAAAAGGUGAAUGAAAAAGAGUUUCGUAGUUUUUAGGUUCUUUAUGGCUUUUGUUUUCCACAAUUCCACAAUUCAAAAAAAGAUUUUUUUUACUUUUUGCACUCAUUUUUCAAAAAAAAAAAAAGCAUCAAAAAGAUUUUCCUUUUGUUUCCUUUAACAAGCAUUCACAAUUCGAAAACUCCAAAAAGAUUUUUUAGGAGCUUUUUAUAAAAAAUAAAAAUGCAAAAAAGAAAAAGGUGGUAGAAGUUUUAUACAUUUCAUAUAACAAAAAUACCAAAAAAAAAUAAAUUCUUUCAUAGUUGUUGGUGUCAUUUUUUAUGUGAAGUGCCAAAUUGAAAACUCAAAAAAAAAAAAGAUUUUGUUAUGUUGUUCAUCGUAUGUCUUUGGUCGUGUCUCAAGUCAGGGUGCAAUCUGUUAUUUAAUCAUUAAUUGUCCAAUCUGGACGAACUACACACCCCUGAUUCUCCUCUUUCGGGAUGUGAGAUAUGUAGGCAACCUAUUGUUGGUUCGGGGACCUUAUUUGAAAAUUCAAAAAAAAUAAAAAAUUCUUCACUCUUUAUUAGAGUAGAUGUCAUAUAUUUCUUUAAAAGAAAACUGUAAAAAGAUUUUUCUUUAAUAGAUUCAAUUUUCAUUUUUAUAUGAAAUUCGAAAUUGAAAACCCAAAAAGAUUUUCUUUGGUAGUCAUAGGUUUUAUUUUGUAUAGGAACAAAAAAAAAAUUCAAAAAAAAGAAUUUCUUCACUCUUUAUUUAGAGUAGGUGUUUCAUAUACAUCUUCAAGAGAAAACUACAAAAAGAUUUUCCUUUAAUAGUUUCAAGUUUUAUUUUCAUAUGAAAUUCAAAAUUGAAAAACCCAAAAGGAUUUUUCUUUGGUAAUCAUAAGUUUCGUUUUGUAUAGGUAUUUUAAAAGUGAAAAAUGCAAAAAGAUUUUCGUCAAUUCUUUUGAAAAAAUGUUAUUUUCUUUUCUUCUCAAAGUUUCAAGGAAAAGAAUGAAAAAAGAGUUUAAUUGGCCAUUUUGGCAAGACUUCACGAACUAUGCACACCUGAUUCUCCUCUCUCGGGGGUGAGAUACGUAGGCGCCCUUCUUGGGUUCGGUGACCUUUUAAAAAAAAAAAAGGUUUUGAAAAAUUGUUGAACUCUAACGCAUUUGCUCUCUCUUGUCCAGUUAGUUUAAGGUGGUUGGUUUGUGGCAUUUUGGCU